Molecule: unclassified non-coding RNA, 343 nt
Filed under: soil metagenome
Description: partial contains 5.8S ribosomal RNA, internal transcribed spacer 2, and large subunit ribosomal RNA
Rfam family: 5.8S ribosomal RNA (bases 1-120)
Source: RNAcentral
GAUGAAGAACGUAGCGAAAUGCGAUAAGUAAUGUGAAUUGCAGAAUCCAGUGAAUCAUCGAAUCUUUGAACGCACAUUGCGCCCGCCAUCAUUCUGGCGGGCAUGCCUGUUCGAGCGUCAUUUCAACCCUCGACCUCCCUUUGGGGAAGUCGGCGUUGGGGACCGGCAGCACACCGCCGGCCCUGAAAUGGAGUGGCGGCCCGUCCGCGGCGACCUCUGCGUAGUAAACCAACUCGCACCGGAACCCCGACGUGGCCACGCCGUAAAACACCCAACUUCUGAACGUUGACCUCGAAUCAGGUAGGACUACCCGCUGAACUUAAGCAUAUCAAUAAGCGGAGGA